UACAGGGGGGGCAAGCGUUGUUCGGAAUUACUGGGCGUAAAGGGCCAGUAGGCGGCCGACUAAGUCCGACGUGAAAUCCCCAGGCUUAACCGAGGAACUGCCCUCCAAACUGCUUCGCUUGAGACCGGGAGAGGUGAGUGGAAUUCCCAGUGUAGCGGUGAAAUGCGUAGAUAUUGGGAGGAACACCAGUGGCGAAGGCGGCUCACUGGACCGGUACUGACGCUGAUGCGCGAAAGCGUGGGGAGCGAACAGG
This 253-nucleotide ribosomal RNA is filed under the name uncultured bacterium. Its description in RNAcentral is "partial 16S ribosomal RNA". It matches the Rfam family "Bacterial small subunit ribosomal RNA", at positions 524 to 776 of the family's 1533-position model. The record is from RNAcentral.